CAAAGUUAUUAAUAUGGAAUGCCUUAUGACAGAUAUGCCUUAAGUGAUUUAAAUAAGAAAUUGCUGUCUGACGUCCAUAUUAAAAGAUCAAGGGUGUCACAUUUAACAAUUUAUUUACAGAAAUGAGAAGAGCGAUAGUGAUUCGUUUAUAUAGUAUAUAAAAUAUACAUCUAUACUUUUUCAAUAUUUUGGCAGAUUGGAUUUGUGCCACCAGCCAUGAAUUUGACACAUCAAAACUUCAUGCACUACAUGCUACCGUCUCUGCUGCUGCCACCUAAAAUCUGAGGCAACAGCUGAUGACCUUUUCAGGGGUCCCCUCUUCCCAGCAUUUAAUAAAAGGAUCGGCUGACCUACAAAGAGGGGGCCGUCGGUGAGCUCCAGGUGACGACACACAUCUCUCUGCAAAAGGCUGACAUCAUUGAGCGAAACGGCUCAAUGACACUCAGUUUCUCUUUGCUCAUGUACAGGCUUUCUGACCUUCAAUGCUUGGAUGAGAGUUGUGAGGAAGCAGCAUUCUGGCAUAUCCCUAUCUAUGUUGAAAAACAGCCCCCGCCUUAUCUCAUACACAAUAGCUUACUGUAUUUCAUUGCGUAUAUAUUCUGUUCUGUAGCUCAGUUCUUUGAGCAGCUGUUUGGAAUAAACCAGAUCUGAUUUCA
Long non-coding RNA from Tachysurus fulvidraco (yellow catfish), 656 nucleotides. RefSeq lists it as uncharacterized. Lineage: Eukaryota; Metazoa; Chordata; Actinopteri; Siluriformes; Bagridae. The record is from RefSeq and is a predicted model, not a curated record. The transcript has 2 exons.